GCAUGUGAAAUUUGUUGACAGUAAGAGAAAUAUAGAAAAUCGCCAGCCAUAUCCUUUAACUCCCAUUGUGGCUGAUGACAUAAAAUGAGCUUGAGCCUGAAAUUGAACAUGUCACAUGAUUUUCAUUCAACAUUAAAUUCACAUUCUCUCUAACCUCUCCUCACACUCUCCUGAAGGGAAACGUAAAGAGGAAAGUCAGCAGCUUCCUCUCCGUACUCAUUUCCCUCGGAUAUAUCUGAGGGAUCAGAAGGUGCAGCAGAUUUAUGGCUCCCUAGACUUGCGGUGACCAAUCUGAUUCAGCAGAUAAUUGCUGAGUAUGAGCUGUUAUCAACUGGACAACCAAGGUGCCUUGAUUUAUUACCCAGAUUCUCAGGUUAACUUCAUCAGGCGAGCUGUCAGAGCGAGAGAGAACAAGAGGAAGAGAACAAAGCGGUGCAGUCCGGUUCUGCUGGAACAGUGUAGAAAUGCAGCUGCUGGCGUGAGAGGUUGUUCAGCUCUCAGCGGUUGUAAAUAAAAAGCAAUUAACUAUAUGGAUUCAUGCCAAAAUGCAUGAAAAAAAAGGUAAAAUUUCACUGUUACGGCAUAUCAACAACUGAAGUAAAGUCUAAAAGAUAUUCAGUAAGUAUAUAAAUAUGACAAUGUUUGGUCAACAACAAUUAACAGCAUAAUCAGUGAGUGUGUUGGGAAAUGUUUUUAUUAAAUUAUCUCUCAUGUUUUGGUUUGGAAGCAUAUUUUGUCAGCUUAUUAAAAAGGUAAAGUAUAUAUCUGGGAAUUACAUUUAAAGAAUAAUUCAAUAUCAGGUAAUUCAGCUGCAACAACACCAGCAUGGUAGCUACCAGCUUCUUGAAUAAAUACCUGUGGAUGCAGGUCCAGCAGGAUGAUAGUAAACUAGGGCUGUGCACUUUGACUCAUGCUUUUUAUAUUACCUGAAUAAUGUCCAUCAUUGUUUCACUCAUGCAAGAGUUCCUGCCAUCAUCAUUGUACAUCUAUACAUUAUAUAGCCAUUUGCACACAAACAUCUAAGCAUAUUUUUUUUGUUUUUAGCUGUUCUGUAUGCUACUGUCUCAUAUAUUUACAGUAUAUUAGAGCUUUACAAUGUCCAUAUUCACUUCCUGUUUUGCAUCCUUGUGUUCCACAUUUCAUAUCUCAUGUUCAUAUUUAUUCACAGCAUUGUACAUACAUUUUGAUCUUUUGCCUAAAUCUGCUAUUGUUAAAUGUUUGUGUACUUUUUUUCCUACUUCAUGUUACUUUCAUUAUACACAGUGCACGGAGAUGCCAGCUAAGACAUCAUCAUCAAAUUUAGCAAAAUCAUUAAAAGGUGACGUAUCAUAUUCUGAGAUCUCUACUGGAAUAUCUUUGCGUGAUUUACAGUUCAGAAAAACUCCUUUUAUGCAGCCCCUCAGUUCAGCCUCUGUCUGAAACAGGCUGUUUUAGUUCCUGUGUCUUUAAGGCCUGCCUCCCGAUGAGCACACUCUGUUCUGAUUGGUCAGCUUCAGGGAGGACGGCUGUUUACGAACAUCAUGACAGGAAGGAAGUAGAGAGAGAAGAACGGCUAAAGGGAACUGAUGUUGUGUGGGUGGAAAAUGACAUCAACAGCCUUUUCAAGGACAUCCCAAGGCUCUUUAAAAUGCCACCCACAAGGGCCAAAAGAUGAUUGCCGGAAUGCGAUUGGCUCUGCCGGGCAGGCUGGUUGCUAUGGAGUAGCUAGGUUUUCAAAAGGCUGAUUUUCAUACGUCUCGAGGAUGUAGUGACGCCUGUAUGGAAAGACUGUGAUCAGAUGGUAUCUGGCAACAGCUGGAGUACAUCGGAGAUAAAAAGCACUUGUCAUGAUUUUUUUUUUUCUGCUUUUCCAUCUGUUGAGCUCCAAAAUGUGAAUCCCAUUACUGGCAAACUUUCCAUCAUGUUUAUUAAAAUAUGCACUUGAAUUCUUUGUUGUUCAAAAACCAAAAACAUUUUUUAAAAAAGAGCAGUACCUGGUUUACAUGGAGCCUUUUUAUUCCACUAAUAAUAUGAGUAAGACCCCAGUCAGAGUAAAUAAAGUGUCAUUUUACACCUUAAUCAGAAACAAAUCAUAUUUUGUUGAAAAGUGGUGAUUUAAACCUUGUUAUAAUUAAAGAUUAAAGAAUUAUUCAUCUUUUCGUUCACUAUAUUUACACUCUGCACUCUACACUCUCUCACUGUCUGGUAUAUAUGUAAUCUAUAUCUCUCAUCAUCCUGUCUGGUGCUUCUUUCCUCAGGGGGGAAACAUCUUUGAAUGGGUGAAGUUCACUAGUUUUGAGAGAUAAAUACAAUACCUGCCUCCUGUUCAAUACCUCCAGCAGUUUAUUCCAAUAAAAAUAUUGUUUCAGUACAAAAUAAGAUCAGUAAACCAGUAACAGUGCCAAGUGCUUGAAGCAGGUAGAUCAUUUUUUAAUGCUUCUGUAAACACUUUCAUGGGAACUGCCAAUAGGAUUGAUUACAUCUUAUUUUAAUUCUUAAAAAAUCAGGUUGUGGGUUUCAGAGCCUCAGACUUGAUGUAUGAUGUCAGACUGAAGUUGUGAAAAAGAAAACUUUAGGCUGGACUCAUGGACUCGUCUGCUUUAAGACUCGACUGACUUGAGACUUAAGAGCAAAAAGUCGCAGAAGCUCACACUGAAACCACACACUUUAUGUACUUAAGUUCUAGUCCUAUUUAGACUUUUCAUAUUGUGCCAAUGAUUUAAGUAUCUGUCAUGGUUCUGUCACAGUCUGGCUCUCUGCCCCACCUCCAGUCCACCAGAGGCCCUUUGGACUUUUCUCCCUGUUUGUUUAGACUGGGCUGAAUGGGAGAAGGCUUAUUUGAGUUCUUAAUUUAGUUGCCUUUACUAGUUAGUCUCUCACUUUCCCUCCUUUGCCCGUCUACACACCUGCCCUGUAUCAGCCUCGUCAGCCUAUCAGCUCCCUGCCUGUUCUGAGUUUGGUCACCUGUUCCUCAUUCCCUCAUUAGUUCAGUUUGUAUUUUAGCCCUGGUUUUCAGUUCAGUCUACAUAAAGAUAAUUCUUCAGUUUCUGUGCCUGAUGUCUCUGCAUUUGGGUCCACCUGCUCUGCUCCACCUAACAACAACCAAACUUUCCCCCCCAUUACAUUCAUCAAGGGACUUCAUCCCAAUCUAUAUCUUAUCAAGUAUCUUGUCUGUCAUUGAGUCCCACUGUAAACACAUGAUGAAUUUGAUAUCUAGAAAUGAGUGUAUCUUGAAACAAGAAAGAAUACAUCAUGCAGCUGCACAAGAAGAAUAUUUUGAGAAGAGUUAAACUUGAUUGUUGAGAGUACUUGAAACAAGUUGACUUGGUGUGAAUUUUUUUCGUGUCUUAAGAAAAUAAAGCCUUAAAAACUUUACAACAAUUAGUCGUAAUAAAAAAGAUAAUUUUUUGCAGCGCUCAACAGCAGAAGAUCCAAACCAGCCCAUAAUCUCUAGUGAAACAAGGAAAACAACUUAAGUCAAAAAGGGAGAAAUCAAAGACAGAUCUCCCCUCCUCAGAUGACUGGAGGUGAAACAGAAGCUGUAGACAACAAUGAACAAUUCAGGGUAGAAGUUAUCUACGACUCCCGAGAUGCAUUUCUAUAUUGAUGUUGGUGUCUGGUGAUCGGGUGGUGAGACCAGGUAGGGGUGGGUUUUGGGGGGUUUUGGUAUCUUGGGCUGCUUGGAGGAUGUAAACAGAGGAUGAACCUGCAGGGCAACAACCAGCUCUGUAAGCUGAGCAUCCAGAGACCUGAGAGACUUACCUCUACUACUACAAGACUCAAAGACAUCUCCAAAAUGUUCAGUUUUACUGCAGAGUGUAGAAGUUACUCAGGCAUGUUAACACUGACCUCGGCCUUGUUGCCAACACUGUACGUACUGUAAUGAACUACUCUAUCAAAAGUAUCUUAAUAAUUUAGGAACUAAACUGCACUACACUCCUCCACGUUGUAAAAUCCAUUAUACUUGUUGAUUAUCUACUAAUUAGAGAGUAAAUGUUGCCUAAGACACCGAGGCGGUAAAUACGGACAGUGGUGCCAUGCAUGUGGAAUUGAUUUUCCUGCUCUCAAUCUCUAAAGGAUAACAGUGAAGAUGAAUUAUUCAGAAAGUCCACACCUCUCAAUGGAUGGCUGACCUUUAGCUGUGCUUGUUAGUACCUGACUGAUAAACUCUGAGCUUUCACAGGCCUCCAAAAAAAGAAAGAAAGAAAGAGAAAGAAAGAGUCACAGGGUGAAAUAUGAAAUGUGAAAUUAUAACUGAAGUGAGAUUGUCCGUUCUCGUCCGUGUACAUUCGUUUUGGCAGGUUGCGGAAAACUCAAUUUGCCAUGAAAAUCUGCAUCACAUUACAUCUGGCCGAUUGUAAACUCAUUACUCAGAUGCAAAUUGAGGCAAAUGAAAUUAAGAUCCAUACCGGCAGAAUAUUUCCCACAAAUGAAGCGGUGACAUCGUUUGCGUUUUUUUUUUAUGCCGUCGGACAUCGAUCCGGUCGGAGAAACGCGUCUACCUGGAGGUAAAUGUUCCUAUAAGCUAAAGACUCAUUUCAAACUCCAUUUGUGAAACAAAACGGAGCACUUAAAUUGGAGUCAUUUGUGUGUUUUUUACAUCGAAGAGGCUUGUUCUUUUAUCCCAUAAACUCCCCGGCCAUGUCGAUAUAGAUUUUAUUGUUCCUCUGUUACAGCUCUGUGCAGUGUGCAGUGUAGAAAAACGUUAGUGUGUCUCUCUAGAUAGCCUGAAUUGCAAUAUUCCCGCCAUCAAUCUGAAAGAGAAUAAAACAUUUGCCCACUACUCAUGGUUCCCUUUCCAAGUAUAAUUCCCAGACUGCUGUAUGUAUAAAUUUCAAUGGCACCAUCUUUCUUUCAUGCAUAUUUGAGAAGAGGAAAGGGAUCCAAAGGCCAGUGAUACUUUGAUCGUUCGGUGGUUUGUUUGUUUGUUUUUUUUUUGCUUUUCUGAAGCCUGAUUCUCUAUUUUUCCUCCUCUUUACUUUGAAUUGAUAAACCAUCUGCUCCCAUGACAGUUCAGAGCAGAGUGUCAUCAACCGCAGCGUGCAGAUCCUCGCAGAUGCUGCUGUCAGACUGCCAGCCGGAGAGCCAGAGACAUGUCCUACUGCAGACUGUGUGUGUGUGUGUGUGUGUGUGUUUACCAGAAAACACUUUCUGGCAUCUUGUGAGUGGGUGCACAACCUCAACAAACACAGACCUGUUCACCUCUUUAAGUAUCUUUUACCUUCUUUAAAGGUAUUUUAUAAGAAUAAUGUUUGCUGAUAAGAGAAUAUGGCUUGCAAUUUUCUAUAUUUUCUUUAUUGUCAAUAAAUCUCAUGUGCAGAG
This is a long non-coding RNA of Thunnus maccoyii (southern bluefin tuna), 5301 nucleotides long. RefSeq lists it as uncharacterized. NCBI's taxonomy places the organism in Eukaryota, Metazoa, Chordata, Actinopteri, Scombriformes, Scombridae. The record is from RefSeq and is a predicted model, not a curated record. The transcript has 4 exons.